CUCCUCAUAAGUCAUGGGCUUCUGCCCCCUAAUCAUUCGUUGCCUUCCACUGGACUCUCUCCAAUUUGUCCACAUCCUUUCUGUAGUGGGGGGCCCAAAACUGAAUGCAAUAC
Molecule: long non-coding RNA, 113 nt
Organism: Gopherus evgoodei (Goodes thornscrub tortoise)
Lineage: Eukaryota; Metazoa; Chordata; Testudines; Testudinidae
Exons: 3
Source: RefSeq, a predicted model, not a curated record